Non-coding RNA from Paramuricea clavata, 79 nucleotides. NCBI's taxonomy places the organism in Eukaryota, Metazoa, Cnidaria, Anthozoa, Malacalcyonacea, Plexauridae. The record is from the annotation of a GenBank genome assembly.
CCCCCCGUGACGCAGCGCAACGGAUUAGCGCGUUGGACUUCUAAUUCAAAGGUUGUGAGUUCGAGUCCCAUCGGGGAUG